Long non-coding RNA from Trematomus bernacchii (emerald rockcod), 925 nucleotides. RefSeq lists it as uncharacterized. The transcript has 4 exons. NCBI's taxonomy places the organism in Eukaryota, Metazoa, Chordata, Actinopteri, Perciformes, Nototheniidae. The record is from RefSeq and is a predicted model, not a curated record.
CAGGCGGACUGCCCCAACUCCCUGCGAUGGAGGGGGGAUGUCGCGGGCUGUGGAUGUGGAGGACAGCCGUGUGACGAUAUACGGGGAAAGAAAAAAAGGGAACCCGUUAGAUUUAAACAAAUGGACGGGGCCAGCGGGACGUCACGAUGCGCAGUCGCCACAAAGCUCAAUACGCCGCUCAUGAACGCGCUCAUUUGGCUCCCAGCAUGCUGCACGUCCGGAGGGACCGCUGGCUACCAGGAGCUCAUCCAAACCAAGUGCAACCCACCAUGCUGCAAAUAAGGAGGACACAAAACUUACAAACAAAAGCGCCAGAAAUGAAGACGAAACUGCUCCCAACCGCCUCUCAGGUGUGUCGGAGACUGUGUGUGCUGCGGACAGAGAGCUGUGUUGCAGACCGGAGGGGUUGUCUGUUAUCUUUGGUUAUCUAGCUGUAUGAGUGAUGCACAUUUUUCAUAAAGCUAGAUAACCGAAAGUAACAAGAAUCCCAUUACACGCCUGCACGGAGGCAGAAGACUAAAUAAAAAAAAAACAUAAAAAGAACCAGGAAGGGGCUCGGACGAUGGACGCUAAGCGAUGAUGCGAAGGUUUCUCAUCAGUCUGGAUUUGGGAAUCAUCGAAUCCUUGCCUCUCCGCUCCUUUGGACUGUGACUAUGAGUCCAGCGACGUUCACUACACACAGGAAUACAUCAUUAACAGCUAAUAUAAUGGAGGACACACACUGAUUCUGUGAAAGCAGGAGCGGUCUCUAACAAGCUCUUAAACUGGUAAUGGAUACAAAAGUGACUUCAACAGCACAACAUCUUAAUCUGACUGGUGAAAGAAGAUUUUGAUACGAGUGGACAAACUGACCUUCGGCUAUUAUGACGGUGAAACUGAGAGUAAAGGACGGCAAAGCGAUCUCCGUGUGUGUGUGUGUGUGUGG